AACGCGAAGAACCUUACCUGGGCUCGAACGGCUUUGGAACAUCCUUGGAAACAGGGACUUCCCGCAAGGGACCGGAGUCGAGGUGCUGCAUGGCUGUCGUCAGCUCGUGUCGUGAGAUGUUGGGUUAAGUCCCGCAACGAGCGCAACCCUUGUCCUGUGUUGGCAUGCCGCAAGGCGCAACUCGCAGGAGACCGCCAGCGAUAAGCUGGAGGAAGGUGGGGAUGACGUCAAGUCAUCAUGGCCUUUAUGUCCAGGGCCACACACGUGCUACAAUGGGCGGUACAAAGCGCUGCCAACCCGCGAGGGGGAGCUAAUCGCCAAAAAACCGUCCUCAGUUCGGAUCGCAGGCUGCAACUCGCCUGCGUGAAGCUGGAAUCGCUAGUAAUGCUAUAUCAGAACGAUAGCGUGAAUACGUUCCCGGGCCUUGUA
Molecule: ribosomal RNA, 429 nt
Filed under: uncultured Acidobacterium sp.
Lineage: Bacteria; Pseudomonadati; Acidobacteriota; Terriglobia; Terriglobales; Acidobacteriaceae
Description: bacterial SSU rRNA
Rfam family: Bacterial small subunit ribosomal RNA
Source: RNAcentral